ACAAUGGCAUAUACAAAGAGAAGCGACCUCGCGAGAGCAAGCGGACCUCAUAAAGUAUGUCGUAGUCCGGAUUGGAGUCUGCAACUCGACUCCAUGAAGUCGGAAUCGCUAGUAAUCGUAGAUCAGAAUGCUACGGUGAAUACGUUCCCGGGCCUUGUACACACCGCCCGUCACACCAUGGGAGUGGGUUGCAAAAGAAGUAGGUAGCUUAACCUUCGGGAGGGCGCUUACCACUUUGUGAUUCAUGACUGGGGUGAAGUCGUAACAAGGUAACCGUAGGGGAACCUGCGGUUGGAUCACCUCCUUA
Molecule: ribosomal RNA, 307 nt
Filed under: Citrobacter freundii
Lineage: Bacteria; Pseudomonadati; Pseudomonadota; Gammaproteobacteria; Enterobacterales; Enterobacteriaceae
Also listed under: 1 other name
Description: partial 16S ribosomal RNA
Rfam family: Bacterial small subunit ribosomal RNA
Source: RNAcentral